UACGUAGGGUGCGAGCGUUAAUCGGAAUUACUGGGCGUAAAGCGUGCGCAGGCGGCCAUGCAAGACAGAUGUGAAAUCCCCGGGCUCAACCUGGGAACUGCAUUUGUGACUGCAUGGCUAGAGUACGGUAGAGGGGGAUGGAAUUCCGCGUGUAGCAGUGAAAUGCGUAGAUAUGCGGAGGAACACCGAUGGCGAAGGCAAUCCCCUGGGCCUGCACUGACGCUCAUGCACGAAAGCGUGGGGAGCAAACAGG
RNAcentral lists this ribosomal RNA (253 nucleotides) under uncultured bacterium. RNAcentral's name for it is "partial 16S ribosomal RNA". It matches the Rfam family "Bacterial small subunit ribosomal RNA", at positions 524 to 776 of the family's 1533-position model. The record is from RNAcentral.